GACAGAGGUGGCAAGCGUUGUUCGGAAUUACUGGGCUUAAAGGGCGCGUAGGUGGUGAUAUAAGUCCGGGGUGGAAGACUGGGGCUUAACCUCAGAAUUGCCUUGGAUACUGUAUGACUUGAGUCAGCGAGGGGAUGGCGGAAUUCCAGGUGUAGCGGUGAAAUGCGUAGAUAUCUGGAGGAAGGCCGGUGGCGAAGGCGGCCAUCUGGCGCUGAACUGACACUGAGGCGCGAAAGCGUGGGGAGCAAACAGG
RNAcentral lists this ribosomal RNA (253 nucleotides) under uncultured bacterium. RNAcentral describes it as "partial 16S ribosomal RNA". It matches the Rfam family "Bacterial small subunit ribosomal RNA", at positions 524 to 776 of the family's 1533-position model. The record is from RNAcentral.